UGUGCAUGAGAUACCGAAAAGCUGAAAUCUGGGCAGUUAGCUUCUAAUUAAUCUGAUGAGUAUCAACAAAACUAAAUCAAAGGCAAGAAACAACCUUGAAUUGAUGGUGGCACUAGGAGCAACAGGUGCCAAUAUCAAAUGUUUCACCAAAUUUUAGGGUAACAAAUAUAUGAAAAGGAGAAGAUGAAAAAAUUAGCGAGAG
Molecule: long non-coding RNA, 202 nt
Filed under: Glycine max (soybean)
Lineage: Eukaryota; Viridiplantae; Streptophyta; Magnoliopsida; Fabales; Fabaceae
Description: long non-coding RNA (GMAX_LNC000790)
Source: RNAcentral